This is a long non-coding RNA of Poecile atricapillus (Black-capped chickadee), 431 nucleotides long. RefSeq lists it as uncharacterized. Lineage: Eukaryota; Metazoa; Chordata; Aves; Passeriformes; Paridae. The transcript has 3 exons. The record is from RefSeq and is a predicted model, not a curated record.
CAGGAGGGAGCUGAGAAGAGAGGAUCUGAUAGGAGGAGGAUAAAGCUGCUCCCAGCCCUUGAUGUGCCUGCAAGGAGGUGCAAAGGUAACAGAUGGUCAUUGUGACGUGAACGUUAUUCCAAUAUCCACAGAGGAGGAAAAAGGACCAGCGUGAUCCAAACUUACAGGCUGUGCUUCAAGUGAUUUCCACCAGCCAGGAUUUGAGCUCACUGCUGCCAAAUCCCAAACCUGCUUAGGACAGAGCAGUGGCAGUGUCCAGAGGUGAGUUUUAGCCAUUCCUAGCAUGCAGUUCGGUGUAGGACUGGUGCCUCAGGGAAGGUGCUCUCAGUCCAGCCAGCAGCGUGGGCAGGGCUGAGUGGCAGGCAGCUUCCCCUAUAGAUUGUAAUGGUUUCAUUUUCACUGGGUUUCAGCACUUGGCAUUUUGGGCUGAA